Molecule: long non-coding RNA, 578 nt
Organism: Zonotrichia leucophrys gambelii
Lineage: Eukaryota; Metazoa; Chordata; Aves; Passeriformes; Passerellidae
Exons: 3
Source: RefSeq, a predicted model, not a curated record
GCUGAGGGCAGCAGGAGGAAUCGCUCUGGCUGCGGAGGGAUGAGAGGAGAGAAUCCAGCCCCGGGCGAGGAUGCGAUGGCUCUGCCGGGACCACAAACUGCUCUUUGCCACACAGCCCGGCCUGGUUGUGCAGGCCAGCAGAGAAAUGUUUCUGCCCAGCCUCCCUCUUGGAUCCAACCAUGUGAAAACCUCCUUGUCUCCCACUGGUUUUACCACCAGCGUGAGCUGGGAGGGACGGCGAGGGCUGAGCACAUCUCAGGCUGAGCACCAGGGGAAAUUUUCCAGCUGCAGGAACCUGCCCUAGGCAGGACAGGGAUCCCAGAGCUCACUCUGGGACAGAGGAAUGAACAGUUCUGAUCCCCCCUUCUGUUUGCAGAGAUAUUUUUGUUUCCCAGCCUGGUCUGGGACCUCUUCCCCGGUGUUCCUCCCAGCCCUCCUGCUGCUGGGACAGCGGGCCGGGCUCGUUUACCCCAAUUUGCUGCAGUUUGUAAAUCUGCCUGCCCGGGGCCGGCCCCAUCUGCAGCACAGAGCCUGGGAAAAGGCUCGGACGGAUUCCAUUUCUCGUCCUUACCUCCGGG